This 253-nucleotide ribosomal RNA is filed under the name uncultured prokaryote. RNAcentral describes it as "partial 16S ribosomal RNA". It matches the Rfam family "Bacterial small subunit ribosomal RNA", at positions 524 to 776 of the family's 1533-position model. The record is from RNAcentral.
UACGUAGGGUGCGAGCGUUAAUCGGAAUUACUGGGCGUAAAGCGUGCGUAGGUGGUUCGUUGUGUCUGUGGUGAAAGCCCCGGGCUUAACCUGGGAAUGGCCAUGGAAACUGGCGAGCUGGAGUGUGGCAGAGGGGGGUGGAAUUCCCGGUGUAGCAGUGAAAUGCGUAGAGAUCGGGAGGAACAUCUGUGGCGAAGGCGGCCACCUGGACCAGCACUGACACUGAGGCACGAAAGCGUGGGGAGCAAACAGG